AGCAGGUCCCAAGGGUAUGGCUGUUCGCCAUUUAAAGUGGUACGCGAGCUGGGUUUAGAACGUCGUGAGACAGUUCGGUCCCUAUCUGUCGUGGGCGUUGGAGAUUUGAGAGGAGCUACUCCUAGUACGAGAGGACCGGAGUGGACGUUCCGCUGGUGUUCGGGUUGUCAUGCCAAUGGCAUUGCCCGGUAGCUACGAACGGACAGGAUAAGCGCUGAAAGCAUCUAAGCGCGAAGCCCCUCCCAAGAUGAGAUCUCACUGGAUAUUUAAUAUCCCUGAAGGGCCCUUGGAGACUACAAGGUUGAUAGGUCAGGUGUGGAAGCACAGUAAUGUGUGUAGCUAACUGAUACUAAUUGCCCGUGAGGCUUGACCAUAUAACACCCAAUGAGUUUGU
This 394-nucleotide ribosomal RNA is filed under the name uncultured Candidatus Thioglobus sp. RNAcentral's name for it is "uncultured SUP05 cluster bacterium Large Subunit Ribosomal RNA; lsuRNA; LSU rRNA". It matches the Rfam family "Bacterial large subunit ribosomal RNA", at positions 2557 to 2925 of the family's 2925-position model. Lineage: Bacteria; Pseudomonadati; Pseudomonadota; Gammaproteobacteria; Pseudothioglobaceae (SeqCode). The record is from RNAcentral.